AUUGAACGCUGGCGGCAUGCUUUACACAUGCAAGUCGAACGGUAACAGGCCGCAAGGUGCUGACGAGUGGCGAACGGGUGAGUAAUGCAUCGGAACGUGCCCAGUCGUGGGGGAUAACGCAGCGAAAGCUGUGCUAAUACAGCAUACGAUCUAUGGAAGAAAGCGGGGGAACGUAAGGCCUCGCGCGAUUGGAGCGGCCGAUGUCAGAUUAGGGAGUUGGUGGGGUAAAGGCUCACCAAGCCAACGAUCUGUAGCUGGUCUGAGAGGACGACCAGCCACACUGGGACUGAGACACGGCCCAGACUCCUACGGGAGGCAGCAGUGGGGAAUUUUGGACAAUGGGCGCAAGCCUGAUCCAGCAAUGCCGCGUGCAGGAAGAAGGCCUUCGGGUUGUAAACUGCUUUUGUACGGAACGAAACGGCGAGCUCUAAUACAGUUUGCUAAUGACGGUACCGUAAGAAUAAGCACCGGCUAACUACGUGCCAGCAGCCGCCGCAG
Molecule: ribosomal RNA, 498 nt
Filed under: uncultured bacterium
Lineage: Bacteria
Description: partial 16S ribosomal RNA
Rfam family: Bacterial small subunit ribosomal RNA
Source: RNAcentral